This 450-nucleotide ribosomal RNA is filed under the name uncultured bacterium. RNAcentral's name for it is "partial 16S ribosomal RNA". It matches the Rfam family "Bacterial small subunit ribosomal RNA", at positions 354 to 796 of the family's 1533-position model. The record is from RNAcentral.
GUGGGGAAUAUUGCGCAAUGGGCGAAAGCCUGACGCAGCGACGCCGCGUGAGGGAUGAAGGUUUUCGGAUCGUAAACCUCUGUCAGAAGGGAAGAAACUACAUUGUGCUAAUCAGCAGUGUACUGACGGUACCUUCAAAGGAAGCACCGGCUAACUCCGUGCCAGCAGCCGCGGUAAUACGGAGGGUGCAAGCGUUAAUCGGAAUUACUGGGCGUAAAGCGCACGUAGGCUGUAGUGUAAGUCAGGGGUGAAAUCCCACGGCUCAACCGUGGAACUGCCUUUGAUACUGCACAACUUGAAUCCGGGAGAGGGUGGCGGAAUUCCAGGUGUAGGAGUGAAAUCCGUAGAUAUCCGGAGGAACACCGGUGGCGAAGGCGGCCACCUGGACAGGUACUGACGCUGAGGCGCGAAAGCGUGGGGAGCAAACAGGAUUAGAAACCCUGGUAGUCC